CGAUUUAGCUCAGUUGGUAGAGCAACGCAUUCGUAAUGCGUGGGUCGGGGGUUCAAAUCCCUUAAUCGGC
This 70-nucleotide transfer RNA is filed under the name human gut metagenome. It matches the Rfam family "tRNA". From Rfam's summary of the family: Transfer RNA (tRNA) molecules are approximately 80 nucleotides in length. Their secondary structure includes four short double-helical elements and three loops (D, anti-codon, and T loops). RNAcentral also lists the same sequence under 1 other name. The record is from RNAcentral.